AGAGGACAUACAGAUGGUAAUCUGUUUAUACUUAACACCUGGGCACAGAGGAAUGUAACAGAACUAACAGAACUAUUUAACUCAUCAGGUUCUAUUUCCUUAAUUUAAGCAGUGGACAGACUUAUUUAGCACUCCUGCUCCUCCUCUCAGGCUGGUGUAGCCUUCUGCAGCAGCGGCAGAGGAAUUUGAGCAUGAAGUCCCACAAAACAGUGUUAUCUCAAGCAAGAUUUCAGCAGAAAUAGGGUAAAAUUACAGCCUUCAAUGAACUAUUCCUUCAGCAGCAAAUGUCCCACUUCACUAGGUGCCUCCUUGCUUCAUCCUAAAUUACCCAAGUAGCUAGAGAGAAAUCAGAGAGCAGCAAGUAUCUGAUGCAGAGCCAAGGACUUACUGUUCUGUGUAUCUUAGUGCUUCAGCUGAACAUCUGGAACCAAAUAAGUACUUCAAGCUGUCUUGGGAAUUACAGGAACAACUUCUCUUUCUAAAAUUGCAUAUUGCUUGAAGCUAAACCUGGCAGGUUUCUCUUCAGUUACCUCUGCUGCUUACAAGACAUUUGGACCUUUUUUUCUGAGCCUGGUGGCUUCUUGAUGGAUGCAAACCAGGUGGUGACCCAUCCUGAGAAGAGCACAGCCUGUUACAGCACAGAGGGUUGGAGCCUACUCUGCACAAGGGCUAGAUGGCACCAGCAAAGCACUGUGUACAGGAACAGAGCCCCCGAGGUGCAGCAGGACCAUCACACGCUGGGAGACAGUGAGGCUCUCAGGAGAAAGAUGAAACAAAUAACAGAUGGAUCCCUGGAAUUCUCUGGAAUACAGACCUGGAACACCUCUGUCUCCCUUCUGGCCUGGAGGUCCUCUGCUGCCUUCUACUCUGCUUGGCUCUCCCGCUUCUCCUUUGUCACCCACUGGACCUGGGAACCCUGCAGAGCCGUACCCAUCUGGACCUGUUGAGUUGUUCAGAAUAAAGGGGAAAGAUGAAAUGUUUCUGCAGCUGUCAUGAAAUAUGAAAAUAUUUCCUGAAAACUGUUUUCCUAGUUGAAGAGGUCAUCAACAGUUAAAAUGAGCUGAGAAGACACCAGAAGCCAUAAAUCAGCAACCACGUCUUUGUUAAUGCACCUGGACUUCAGGAGGAAUAAGUGUUUUAGCAGAGGAAACUCUGCCACUCUGAACUGCAAAAACCUCCUUUCUUCUUCUUCACAGCAAAGGAACAUUUGCAAGUGCUCCCACAGAAAUGACUGAAUAGCUGAAGC
Molecule: long non-coding RNA, 1246 nt
Organism: Prinia subflava (tawny-flanked prinia)
Lineage: Eukaryota; Metazoa; Chordata; Aves; Passeriformes; Cisticolidae
Exons: 4
Source: RefSeq, a predicted model, not a curated record